GUUUACUUAAUAGCUAGAGAGGUUAGCACCCCCUUUGACAAGGAUGGAAGAGUCCCUCAGGCCUGACAAAUAAAAUAAAAAAAUAGCUGU
Small nuclear RNA from Pan paniscus (pygmy chimpanzee), 90 nucleotides. Lineage: Eukaryota; Metazoa; Chordata; Mammalia; Primates; Hominidae. The record is from Ensembl.